Molecule: ribosomal RNA, 1416 nt
Filed under: Hylomantis granulosa (granular leaf frog)
Lineage: Eukaryota; Metazoa; Chordata; Amphibia; Anura; Hylidae
Description: partial 16S ribosomal RNA
Rfam family: Bacterial large subunit ribosomal RNA
Source: RNAcentral
GCUAAAAAUUUAACCCCAAAGUCUAUUAAUAUUCAUCAUUUCCCCCCCCCCCCAUUAAACUAAAACAUUUAUAAGGUUUAGUAGAGGCGAUUGAAACACCUAUUGGAGUUAUAUAUCUAGUACCGCAAGGGAAUAAUGAAAUAAAAAUGAAAUAAUUAUUAAGCACAAAACAGUAGAGACAUUACCUCGUACCUUUUGCAUCAUGAUUUAACUAGUCUAAUCAAGCAAAAUGAACUUUAGUUUGAACUCCCGAAACUAAACGAGCUACUUCAGGGCAGCUUUAUGAGCCAACCCGUCUCUGUUGCAAAAGAGUGGGAUGACCCUCAAGUAGAGGUGACAAACCUAACGAGUUUAGUGAUAGCUGGUUACUUAAGAAAAGGAUUUCAGUCCAACCUAAAAUUUUUAUAAUAUAUUUAAAUAAACAUUAAACUUUAGAGCAAUUCAAAUGAGGUACAGCCUAUUUGAAACAGGAUACAACCUACGUAACUGGGUAAUUAAGUCACUAUAUAAUAAAGUAGGCCUAAAAGCAGCCACCUUUUAAAAAGCGUCAAAGCUUAACUAUACCUAGACCUAAUUUCAUUAAUUUUAAUAAACCCUUAACUCAUAUUAAGUAAUUCUAUAUUAUUAUAGAAUAUAUUAUGUUAAAACUAGUAACAAGAAUCAAAAUUUCUCCUAAAUACAAGUGUAAAUCAGACCGGAUCAACCACUGAUUCUUAACAUUUAUGAACAAAUAGUAAUAACCAAUCAAGAAAAUUUUACUAUCUUCCAUGUUAACCUAACACAAGAGUAUUUCAAGAUAGAUUAAAAGAAAAAGAAGGAACUCGGCAAACAUUAACCUCGCCUGUUUACCAAAAACAUCGCCUCCUGUAGAAAUAUAGGAGGUCCAGCCUGCCCAGUGACUCUGUUCAACGGCCGCGGUAUCCUAACCGUGCGAAGGUAGCGUAAUCACUUGUUCUUUAAAUGAGGACUAGUAUGAAUGGCAUCACGAAGGUUAAACUGUCUCCUUUUUCUAAUCAGUGAAACUAAUCUUUCCGUGAAGAAGCGGGAAUAAUUUUAUAAGACGAGAAGACCCUAUGGAGCUUUAAACUAUUAGCAACUAUCUUAACUUUACCACAACAAUAAAACUUAUAUUGAUAGUCUGACUGCUAGUUUUCGGUUGGGGUGACCGCGGAGUAUAACUUAACCUCCACGAUGAAUGGGCCCGCUCCUAAACAAAGAGUUACAAUUCUAUGUAUCAAAAAAUUGACGCUAUUGACCCAAUACUUUGAUCAACGAACCAAGUUACCCUAGGGAUAACAGCGCAAUCCAUCUCAAGAGUUCAUAUCGACAAAUGGGUUUACGACCUCGAUGUUGGAUCAGGGUAUCCCAGUGGUGCAGCCGCUACUAACGGUUCGUUUGUUCAACGAUUAAAACCCU